GAUCCUGGCUCAGGAUGAACGCUGGCGGCGUGCUUAACACAUGCAAGUCGAACGAAGCAACUUCUGCUGCAAGAAAUUGACUUAGUGGCGGACGGGUGAGUAACGCGUGGGUAACCUGCCUCAUACAGGGGGGAUAACAGUUGGAAACGACUGCUAAGACCGCAUAACCCGCUAGUGUCGCAUGACACGGACGGAAAAUAUUUAUAGGUAUGAGAUGGGCCCGCGUCUGAUUAGCUAGUUGGUAAGGUAACGGCUUACCAAGGCGACGAUCAGUAGCCGACUUGAGAGAGUGAUCGGCCACAUUGGGACUGAGACACGGCCCAAACUCCUACGGGAGGCAGCAGUGGGGAAUAUUGGACAAUGGGGGAAACCCUGAUCCAGCGACGCCCGCGUGAGUGAAGAAGUAUUUCGGUAUGUAAAGCUCUAUCAGCAGGGAAGAUAAUGACAGUACCUGACUAAGAAGCCCCGGCUAACUACGUGCCAGCAGCAGC
RNAcentral lists this ribosomal RNA (491 nucleotides) under uncultured bacterium. RNAcentral's name for it is "bacterial SSU rRNA". It matches the Rfam family "Bacterial small subunit ribosomal RNA", at positions 15 to 518 of the family's 1533-position model. The record is from RNAcentral.